CCUACGGGUGGCAGCAGUGAGGAAUAUUGGUCAAUGGACGAGAGUCUGAACCAGCCAAGUAGCGUGAAGGAUGACUGCCCUAUGGGUUGUAAACUUCUUUUAUAAAGGAAUAAAACGAGGCACGUGUGCCUUUUUGCAUGUACUUUAUGAACAAGGAUCGGCUAACUCCGUGCCACCAGCCGCGGUAAUACGGAGGAUCCGAGCGUUAUCCGGAUUUAUUGGGUUUAAAGGGAGCGUAGAUGGGUUGUUAAGUCAGUUGUGAAAGUUUGCGGCUCAACCGUAAAAUUGCAAUUGAUACUGGCAGUCUUGAGUACAGUUGAGGUAGGCGGAAUUCGUGGUGUAGCGGUGGAAUGCUUAGAUAUCACGAAGAACCCCGAUUGCGAAGGCAGCUUACUAAACUGUGACUGACAUUGAUGCUCGAAAGUGUGGGUAUCAAACAGGAUUAGAUACCCUAGUAGUC
RNAcentral lists this ribosomal RNA (460 nucleotides) under uncultured bacterium. RNAcentral's name for it is "partial 16S ribosomal RNA". It matches the Rfam family "Bacterial small subunit ribosomal RNA", at positions 338 to 795 of the family's 1533-position model. The record is from RNAcentral.